Molecule: non-coding RNA, 1854 nt
Organism: Coturnix japonica (Japanese quail)
Lineage: Eukaryota; Metazoa; Chordata; Aves; Galliformes; Phasianidae
Source: RefSeq, a predicted model, not a curated record
AAAGAAGCACUAGGCAUUCCUGCAUGAUAUUUUCACUCAUAAACCCAGCAAGGCCGGUUGUUCAUACUGUUUAAUUGCUGGUAUGGCCAUGCCAGAGCCUCCUCAAUGCUGUUUGGGAUUGGGCUGUGCUCAAAGUCAGUCCAGCCACAGGCACUAUUUCAGAGACUGGGUGGGGAUUUGGAAGAUCACACAGGGAAACGAUCAAGACUUCAGAUGCAAAAGAUGUGAGCCACACUGAGAGCUUUUACUUACCCUUUGCACACCACCAUCAUUACCACACAGUGCGUUUCCCCUCACAGGUGCUGUUGGGCUCUUGAUGUGCUCACAGCUGUCUGAGGAGAGCAGAACAAGCUGACAGAGAGCUGUGUCAUUGUGAUCAGGUGUUGCCCAAAAUUAACUGAUCUGCAGGCUGAGAUGGUAGCUGUGCUUCUCCUCAAAUGCAGCCUCUGGCAGCUGAGCUUCCCUGGCUUGGUGCCUCAGAUGUCUACCACAGCACAGAAGAUUCAAGAUGAAGGCUUUGCCAGCAGUAGUUGCAAAGGCUGCCAUGUGUCCUCUUUCCUCUGUUUGGUGUUACUAUGCAGCUGGAGAUGUCAUCUACACAGCACCCACCCAGGCUGCUGUUCUGCCUCCAAAAACAAUCAGUACAACCUUUGUUGGAGGACAGAAUCCCAAGGCCGAGGAGUUACUGAAAAUAUGUCCCGUGGGAUAGAACAUACAGCCUUGCAGCAGAUUCUCAUUUACAACGGAGUCCAAUAUUGCAGAAUGGAGAUUGAUGGAAUCAUUCAGCACAGCGUCAGCAAGUGUACGUAACUUCUGCUUUGACCAUCAUCAAAGUUACUAGGAGAAUAAAUUGGAAAGGAUUUUAACAAGAGAUGGUGUCGGUACCAUAGUGACCAUGCAGUUGCUAAGGAUGUGAUUGAUUAGCACUCUGAUUGCAGGACUAGAAGAGUUAAUUGCUGUGUCCUCAUUCCAUUUCUCUAGGGGAAAUACCUGCUUGUCAAUUAUACAUGGCCAAAAAUAUCCCACCUCUUGAUUUUUACAGCAUCUGAAAGCUAGCACCUUCUUGACCCUGAGCAUUUCCAUUAUGAAAUGUGAGCUCAUAACUUUGAGUAAAUGCAACACAGGCACUGUUAGCAAUUGCUUGGAUUUUUGUUCAUUUGUUUGGUUUUUUUGCUAUAUUCCCCCCUCCCAUACACAACACACACUUACCUCCUGCAAGUUUGAGAGCCAUUUUUGUGUGUGUGUGUAAGUGUGAAAUUCAGCUAUUAAGCUGACAAAGGCUCAGGGAAAUGAACUGAACUAUCUAGUGGGAAGAAAAAUGGUACUGUAAAGACAGAAUAAAAAAAAGACCUAGGGUAAUAGAGAUUGAUCACUCAAUCUGUCCAUGGCCUCAGAUAAAACUGAUUGAAUUUAACAUGCUAGGUUACAGUUAAGAAGCUGGUUUGUUUCAGUGGAUAUAAUAUCAUUCCAGAUUAUCACGGGGAGCUAUUUAUUUACUUUUGCAUUUGUGAGUCAUUCAGUCAGUUCCUUUCUGUGAGCAAAAAUAUGUUUAUUUUCCCACUCCCUGCUGUUGUGUAUUCUAUUAAUAUCAUUCCAGUUGAAAUAGACGGGCACAGUAGAAACUAUCUAUCUGGUGUUGAAUUUGUGUUUCAGAUUUCUUCUUUUCUUCUUUUUUCUUCUUAAGGCACCUAUCUUCAUAAAGGGACUCAAAAACAUGCUGGCAUUUUUAAUACAAGCUUAGUUCUCUUCCAUGUCUUCCACACUGGCCAUAACCCUUAAAUAACAACUGACGCAGGAGCCUAUGUAUGGACUGUGUCAGAAUGAAUUUCUUCAGAAACGAUGGAGAUGACACCA